RNAcentral lists this ribosomal RNA (301 nucleotides) under uncultured bacterium. RNAcentral's name for it is "partial 16S ribosomal RNA". It matches the Rfam family "Bacterial small subunit ribosomal RNA", at positions 509 to 807 of the family's 1533-position model. The record is from RNAcentral.
CAGCAGCCACGGUAAUACAGAGGGUGCGAGCGUUAAUCGGAUUUACUGGGCGUAAAGCGUGCGUAGGCGGCUUUUUAAGUCGGAUGUGAAAUCCCUGAGCUUAACUUAGGAAUUGCAUUCGAUACUGGGAAGCUAGAGUAUGGGAGAGGAUGGUAGAAUUCCAGGUGUAGCGGUGAAAUGCGUAGAGAUCUGGAGGAAUACCGAUGGCGAAGGCAGCCAUCUGGCCUAAUACUGACGCUGAGGUACGAAAGCAUGGGGAGCAAACAGGAUUAGAGACCCCAGUAGUCCCUGUCUCUUAUAC